RNAcentral lists this ribosomal RNA (414 nucleotides) under uncultured bacterium. Its description in RNAcentral is "bacterial SSU rRNA". It matches the Rfam family "Bacterial small subunit ribosomal RNA", at positions 505 to 918 of the family's 1533-position model. The record is from RNAcentral.
GUGUCAGCAGCCGCGGUAAUACGGAGGGUGCAAGCGUUAAUCGGAAUUACUGGGCGUAAAGCGCGCGUAGGUGGCUAAGUCAGCCAGGUGUGAAAGCCCCGGGCUCAACCUGGGAACGGCAUCUGGAACUGCUUGGCUAGAGUGCAGGAGAGGAAGGUAGAAUUCCCGGUGUAGCGGUGAAAUGCGUAGAGAUCGGGAGGAAUACCAGUGGCGAAGGCGGCCUUCUGGACUGACACUGACACUGAGGUGCGAAAGCGUGGGUAGCAAACAGGAUUAGAUACCCUGGUAGUCCACGCCGUAAACGAUGUCAACUAGCCGUUGGGUCCCUUGAGGACUUAGUGGCGCAGCUAACGCAAUAAGUUGACCGCCUGGGGAGUACGGCCGCAAGGUUAAAACUUAAAUGAAUUGACGGGG